UACGGAGGGUGCAAGCGUUAUCCGGAUUCACUGGGUUUAAAGGGUGCGUAGGUGGGUUGGUAAGUCAGUGGUGAAAUCCCCGAGCUUAACUUGGGAACUGCCAUUGAUACUAUCAAUCUUGAAUAUUGUGGAGGUUAGCGGAAUAUGUCAUGUAGCGGUGAAAUGCUUAGAUAUGACAUAGAACACCAAUUGCGAAGGCAGCUGGCUACGCAUAUAUUGACACUGAGGCACGAAAGCGUGGGGAUCAAACAGG
Molecule: ribosomal RNA, 253 nt
Filed under: uncultured bacterium
Lineage: Bacteria
Description: partial 16S ribosomal RNA
Rfam family: Bacterial small subunit ribosomal RNA
Source: RNAcentral